UCGCCUGUUUUCCAAAAACAUCGCCUCUUGACUUAAUAUAAGAGGUCCAGCCUGCCCAGUGACUCUGUUCAACGGCCGCGGUAUCCUAACCGUGCGAAGGUAGCGUAAUCACUUGUUCUUUAAAUGAGGACUAGUAUGAAUGGCAUCACGAAGGUUACACUGUCUCCCUUUUCUAAUCAGUGAAACUAAUCUCUCCGUGAAGAAGCGGAGAUAGACAUAUAAGACGAGAAGACCCUAUGGAGCUUUAAACUUAAUAACAUUUCCUUAAAACAUCCACACUCCAGAGUGACUAACAUUUAUUACAGCUUUCUGAUUAUUAGUUUUAGGUUGGGGUGACCGCGGAGCAAAAAAUAACCUCCACAUUGAAUGGGGAACUCCCCCUGAGCCACGAGCUACAACUCUACGCACCAAUAAAUUGACAUCAAUUGACCCAAUAUAUUGAUCAACGAACCAAGUUACCCUAGGGAUAACAGCGCAAUCCGCUUCAAGAGCUCCUAUCGACAAGCGGGUUUACGACCUCGAUGUUGGAUCAGGGUAUCCCAGUGGUGCAGCCGCUACUAAAGGUCGCGUCAGCA
Molecule: ribosomal RNA, 575 nt
Filed under: Hyla annectans (Assam treefrog)
Lineage: Eukaryota; Metazoa; Chordata; Amphibia; Anura; Hylidae
Description: partial 16S ribosomal RNA
Rfam family: Bacterial large subunit ribosomal RNA
Source: RNAcentral